UCGCAGUCCACGAGCUGCUGCUCCGACAGGGACAGCAGCUUCCCCGUCCGGAUCUUGGUGAUCCCUUCCACUGCGGCCACCGUCGCGAAGGCCCAGCACGACCCACACGAGCCCUGGUUCUUUACCGGCGUCACGGCGCCUUCCUUGCGCCAGUCCACGCUCGCCGGCGCGGCGGAAAGGUUCGUGUACGCCGCCGCGUGCCCGGUGGCAUCGACCGACCCGGCGCGCGUCGUGAUCAGCGCCAUGUACCCCUCGUCUUCUUCAGCCAGCAGCUGCGUCUGCGGGGGCACCGUGUACAGGGCCAUGAACUCGUCGUUGGUGAGGUCGGUGUACUCCGUCUCGCCGAGCUCGUACGUGAGGCCGGCCGCCUGGGCGACGGCGUUGGUGCUCUCGAUGUAGCGCACAUUGCCGGCGUAGACCUGGAAGCGGUGGCGCUCCUCCUCGGCGGUUGCGUACGACUUGCCGUACUCCGCCUUCCACUGCUGGAACCUUGCCAGCAUCAGACCAUCAUCGUUGUCGUCGUCGGCGAGGCUGUUGGCCGUUGCUGACAAGCAGCCGUUGAGGGAGACGGCCACGAGGAGGAGUACGCAUGGAAGCAGGAAGCGUUUGGCGGAGGAGGCCGCCAUGGAUGAGCUAGCUCAACGCGUGGAGAAUGUAUGCAGAUGUUUCAAUGAGAGGAGAGAGGGCGCGUUGAUCGAAAUGGAUGGAUGGAUGGAUGCUUAAAUAGAAGCAGUUGCUCCAAUACGGUCGUUGACAUUAUGCAGAUCAACGUGAUUCAAAUGUGGUGCUCGUAUCUUAAGGAGUUAAGGUACAUGUGAUUUGCAUGCAUAUUCGUCAUCUCGGUUGCAACUUGCAACUGAACCAAAGUAAUAAAUCAGUAGUAUGGGAUAAAGCACUGGACUCGAUCCUCAAAGUUUCUACCCCUGCCAUACUGUAAAUAUUCUGCAGGAUUCUUACCUAUAAACUAGCAAAGUUAUACAGUUACCUGAGAAGAACUUAUAUACACUAAGCAGAGAACUCACCUUCCAUGCGCCCUCUUUUAUCCCGGUUUAAAGUUGACCCGGGAUAAAAGUUUCACGAACCGGGACUAAAACUCGAUCACUGGCGGGGGCUCACCAACCGGGACCUUUUAUCCCAGUUGCAAAGGGUAGUGGAAAAAAAAGGCCCUGAGAGACCUUUUAUCCCGGAUAAAAGAUCCCCUUUUAUGCCGGUUGGUAUUACAAACUGAGAUAAACGGUGUAAUACCAUCCUGGAUAAAAGGCGGUCUUUUAUCCCGGUUGGUAUUUUCAACCGGGGUAAAAGGGUCCCCCACGGAUGGCUAAAAAGAACUAAAUCCCUCGAAAUCCCUCGAACCCUUUUAUCCCGGUUUGUAAUACCAACCGGGAUAAAAGGGGAUAUUUUAUCCCGGUUGGUGUUUCCAACCGGGAUAAAAGGGUCCCCACGAGUUAAUACAAAAGGAUUGCAUCCUCUAUAUAGUUAGAUGUGUUGUGUAGGUGGGAUGGCAAGGAGGCUACACGUAAGGCUUGAGGUCGUGUGUUCGAAUCCCGCGCAUGCGCAUAUUUGGUGUGAAAAAUCGUGUGACUUGUGACAUGCGACGUGUGCGUGGAGGGGGGCUCCUAGGGAUCCCCUGGGAUUUCUUUUUUUUUUUGGGCUGCGCCUGGUGUGGCGAUCCUUUUUAUCCCGGUUGGUAUUACCAAGCGGGAUAAAAGGGGGUCUUUAGUCCCGGUUGAGUGACCCGGGACAAAAGACCCCCCUUUUGUCUCGAUUGGUUUAUCCCGGAUGGAUUUUCAGGAGAUUUGCUCCCUACUAACUGGGACUAAAGGCGAGUUUUCUACCAGUGAUAUAUAGAUGCGAUAAAUUUAAACCUUAAGAAAACCAAAGUUGACUUUCAUUUUCUAGAACAUAACAAGUUUAACUUGUUUUGAAAGAAUACAUGGAGCUUAUGUGGUUUGUUGGGGAUAAUGCAUGGAGAGGGAUGUUAUAUGUAUGUCUCCACGAAGAUACAUAUUUCUUCUUUCUCUUUUUAACUGUGUGUAUGACUAAAAAAAUACUACAUGACACUCAUUUAAUAAUGAUCAUGUGCAAUGUGCUCGAAGUGGACUAAGGGGAUCUUUAAGAAGAGCACAUAUAGGAUGGGCCGGAGUUAUCAUAUUCUAAUUCAUGUGAAUAAUGAUAUUUGAUGUCAAGUAAAUGUUCAAUUCACCCAAAAGUGAAUCAAGUUUGCAUUUGAAAAUACUAAAACUUUAACACGGAGGGAAUGCAUUAAUUAAAGAGAAAAUUAUAAAGACGGCCCCAUAUGUUAUUUAGGCUUUGAGAUUCCCAUAAGGCUAUUUUCAAUGGAGGAUUUAUAUUAAUGGGACGGUUUCCGACAUUGCAACAUCAUCUAAACUAAUUUUUGUUGAUGAGUGAAACCAUACAUUUGUUGAUUUUUAUUUAUGGUUUGCCUACGAAAAUCAGGCCAUAGACUUUAAUUGAGAUGCAUUUGAUUGAACAAAAUCAGUUGAAAUAAAACUAUGUAGCCCUCAACGAUAGUUUCAACAUGUUUCAUGUAUAGUCACGGAGACAGUACUGUACAUGCAGUUUCAUCCCCAUUCUAAAACCAAUUUCUUCUCCUUCCUCAUAGAUACUCUGCCAAGCACGUCACCGUACCCAUGAAACCCAUUUCUUCUCCUUCCUUAUAGAUACUCUGCCACGCACGUAGGGGUGGUAAUGGAUCAUGGCCCUCAUACCUCCUUCACAGUACAACUCAACCUUAUCUAUUUUUAGUUCAAAAUUAUAUAAUAUUAUGGCCCGGUCCUUGUUGAGUCCGAUUCUUAAAUUUGCUAUGCUAUAUUAUUAGAGAGCCCUUUACCACCCCUACACACACGUCAUCAUAUUUCUUCAUUUAAUGAAAAUGAAACCCUGGCGAAGGAAGAGAGACGUGUUUCUCUCUACGCAAAACGUACAAUAACGUGGAACACGUAGAUCAGCUCCUGUCCUGAAGCGGCCAGCUAGCGAUGAUGACAACGUACGUGGUCCGCCGUGUCGCGGGCCAACACACGACCAGAGACGGUGAUGACAAUUGUCCGUCUUGACGGUUGGCAAUGCAAUUAGCUACCAGACAGAUGCCAAACGUGCAUCUCGUUGAGGUAAACAAAACGCACAAGCUACCCGAGACAGCUAGCAACUAGUACACGCACUCAUCUAGGCAGUGGUGAUACGUACUACUUGGAAUGAGAAGGCUAGAAUAAGAGGCAUGCAUGCAUGCACAUGAUGGACCUAUCAUAAUAAGAUGCAUAUGCAUGCAUGCACCAAUCAACAAGCAAGCAAACAUAUGGAGAAAACCAAAACAAGUUGAGCAUGCUUGUUAUUAGUCGACGUGUGGACCAGAUAAGCGUGUUUCUCGUUGGGCUCGCAAGCUACCAGAACCGGAGACGUGGCAGCUGGUUUAAUUUGGCACGUAGGUGAGAACGGGUGGAACGAGGUACGCCAAGCGAAAAAAGUAUACCUAGGCACGUAAAUAUACAACGUUUAGAACAAGCUACUAUCUAAAUUGGCUUGCGAUUUCCUAGAUCACCAUUGAUUUCCUAGAUCAAUUGGCUUGCCUAAACAAAUUUUUUUUAGAUUAAGGAACAUUGUCCGGCCUCGAUCAUCCUCAAUUGGAUGUCUACAGCCACCAACUUACAACCUGGACACAAAACAUGCAGCUCUCAGGCUGCUCCUAAAACUUCUAGUGCCAAAAUACAGUUUAGACAAGACUAAACAAGGUAGGAUCGAACUAAAACAGACCAAGCUCCUAGGUCUAGAGUCUGGUUCCAAAACAAAGUUCAGACAAGACUAAACAAGAUCUCUGAUACUUCUUAGGACCGAACUAAAAUAGACCAAGGUCCCAGGUCUAGAGAUAGCUUCCAGGUAAACUGAAGAAAGAUCCACACCAUCAGCACAUAAACCUUUCAAGAUCUGCCCUGACGCCAGACAGCCUAAGACAUCAAUCUUCUCCUAAAGUUCCAUCCAUAUUUAUGGAAGAAAUCCAAAGCAGUAAUUUCAAGUCUGCUACAGUUCUUCUUCAAAUCAAUUUUCUCUUCCUCCUUAGAUAGCAUCGCCCAUGCCCUUGCCCAAUAAGUCCCUUUGAACAUUACCUGCAAAAAGGAGUUAGUGGUAUUUCCUUUGAACAGCACAUCAUUUCGAUUCAACCAAAUAGCCCAGCAUAGUGCAACAGCUCCUACAAUCAUCUGGUUUCUAUAUUUCCAGGGAUAACCUCUAGCCCAAGAACCCAGCAUAUUAGGACCACUAGCAGGCGGUUGAAUUCCAGAUGAAAAGAAAACUGUAUUCCAAAUGCAUCUUGCUAAAUGGCAAUCAAAGAAUAGGUGUUGCACUGUCUCUUCAUCGUUGCAAAAACAACACUUGGUACUACCUUGCCAUCUUCUCUUGGCAAGAUUGUCCUUUGUUAGGAUCACUCCCUUCUUCAAAUACCAUAAAAAUACUUUGAUCUUUAAAGGUAUUUUUAACUUCCAUUAUGCACACAAGGAGGGAGUUCCUUCAGCUUGCAUUAUCUCUCUGUACAUGGAUUUUACUGAGAAUUCUUUGCUUUUGUUUAAGCUCCAACAAAAUCUAUCUUCGUGAUCUUCCAAGCCAUGACCUUCUAUUUCAGCCACCAAUUUUAGCCAAUCAUUUAAUUUAUCUCCUGUAAGAGCUCUUCUGAAUGACACAUUCAGGGGAACCGCUCCAGAGACCUUGGCCACAGUGUCAUUUUUCCUCCUAGCUAUGUUAAACAAAGAUGGAAAUCUCUCCCUGAGAGCUUUCUUUCCAAUCCAUACAUCUUCCCAGAAUUUGGUUUUCUUUCCAUUAUGCACUUCAAACCUACCCAUUGCCAUGAAUUGAUCCUUUAUUUCCAUGAGUCCACCCCAAAACUGUGAAUCUCCCUUUUUCUUCUUCACUUGAGUAAGAGUUUUAUUACUUAGGUAUUUUCUUCUAAGUAAUUUUUGCCAUACCCCUUCCUCGUUCAAAAGUUUAAAUAGCCACUUGCUUAACAAGCAUCUAUUUUGCACUUCCAGGUUUGAUAUGCCCAAUCCUCCUACGCUCUUUGGUACACAGAAAAUACUCCAUUUGGCCAAUCUGUAUUUCUUUUUGUGUUCAUCACAUUGCCAAAAGAAUCUAGAUCUGUAGUAGUCCAGUCUUUUGAGAACACCUUUAGGUAUUCUAAAGAAAGACAUCAUAAACAUUGGUAAACUAGAAAGGACAGAGUUUAUUAGUACCAGCUUUCCUCCAACUGACAAUAAUUUACUCUUCCAGCUUGCUAGUUUUUUCUGAAAUCUCUCUUCAACCAAUUUCCAAUCUUUAUUGGUAAGUCUACGAUGGUACAUAGGAAUUCCAAGAUAUUUAAAAGGUAUAAUUCCUUCCUUGCACCCAAAGAUCUCCACAUAUUCUUUGACUAUAUUUUUUUGCCUCCCCAAAACAGUACAAUUCACUCUUAUGGAAGUUGAUUUUGAGGCCUGAGAGUUUUUCAAAUGUACUUAGUACUAACUUCAGAUUUUUAGCCUGUUCUAUAUCAUUUUCCAUAAAAAGGAUUGUGUCAUCUACAUAUUGGAGGAUAGAUAAUCCUCCAUCUACCAGAUGGGGUACUAGACCCUUAAUUUGCGCUUUCUCCUUGGUUCUGGUUAUUAGAACUGCUAGCAUGUCAGCCACCACAUUAAACAACACUGGGGAUAGGGGGUCUCCUUGUCUUAGCCCUUGUUUUGUUUGAAAGAAAUGUCCAAUGUCAUCAUUAACUUUGACCUCAACACUUCCCCCACUAACUAUGUUUUAAAUCCAUUUACACCAUGUAGGAGAGAAACCCUUCAUUUUUAGAGCCUGUUGUAAGAAAGUCCAGUUAACCUUAUCAUAGGCUUUUUCAAAGUCCAAUUUGAGAAUUAUUCCAUCCUAUUUUUUCCUACACAACUCAUGUAUUGUCUCAUGCAGUAUUACCACCCCUUCCAUAAUGUAUCUUCCAGGUAGGAAGGCAGUCUGAGAUGGUUUUAUCACUUUAUUAGCCACCAGGGUAAAUCUGUUGGCCAUCACCUUUGUGAAUAUUUUAAAGCUAACAUUUAACAUAAAGAUUGACCUAUAUUGCUGGAUCAUCUUAACCUCCUUAAGUUUAGGAAUUAAUGUUAUAAUUCCAAAAUUUAAACUAUACAGUGGUAACGUACCCUUAUGGAAAUCCUCAAACAUGGCCAUUAGGUCAUUCUUUAUGAGGCUCCAAGUUUCACACAGUGGUAACUCUAAGGGAGUCCUUGAAUGUUCAAGUUGCACACACAACUAAGUAGAACACUAACAAGUUUAAGGAACCCCAUGAUGUAAUUUUUUUUAUUGAUAAAAAUUAAACUUCUUGUUAACUUUGUCCUUCUUUUGGUUCUUUCCAGCGCAUUGUGUGGCCUUUGCCUAUGGUAAAACAGUGGAGAUAAUGGAGCGUGCAUAUAGUAUUAGAAAAGGACCGUCAAACCAAUAAAUCCGUAUGAUCUUGAGCAAAGGUUUGAUGAGAAGUUGUCUAAUGAUCAUUCUGAUGGCUCUCAUAGAUCGAAAGUUGGUAUACAUAAAGUCCUUCAUAUGGGUUUGAUUCUAAGAUCGGAAGGCAUUCAGAGACGCAGAGUAUGUCAGAGUAUGUCAUUUGUAUACAUUUGCAAUUAUUUUAUUGUGUCUCUUCACUUUAUGAAGCUAAUAUUUUUCUUUUGCAACAUUUGUUUUUUUAGUCUUAGGAUAGAUACAUCGCCGCUGAUGUUUCCACUAUCCCAUGAGAGGAUUUUGAGCAGAUUUGCCAAUGUUUAGCAGAGGGUAUUCUGCUGCUUGCAACAUCUUAGUGUGGAUGAUUUAGACAUGUAUGGUUGGGUUCCAUUUGUGUACUUGGCGGAAUUGGCAUGGGCUCGCUGUGCAUUUGUAUGGUCUAACGAAGCUUACUUGUCUUAUAGUUUAGGUGCUUAUUUGUAUUACAACAGGUAACUCAUAAAAUCUAUCCAGAAGGGAUGGUAAAAUCAUGGGUUCAGGAACGGUAAAAUUCAGGAUGUAACCGGUAAAAUUUAUCCUAAAGUGAUGGUAAAAUCUUGGGUUUGGAAACGGUAAAAUCCAGGAGGUAAUCGGUAAAAUCUGUCCUGAAAGGUUGGUAAAAUCCUGGGUUUGUGAACACUAAAAUCCAGGAUGUAACCGGUAAAACUUUGAAACUAUAUGGCCCAACCAGGAGACUAACACUUGUAAGAAACAAAACUUUAUUAUAACACAAUAAUAUUACACAGGAGUGCACAACACCCUCUCUUUAGCUAGCCCUUUACUUCUAUCAUACUCCACUCAUCUACCAUGCUCAUGGUUGAAUGGCAUGGUAAGGAAGGGGACCUCUAUUUAUGGGUCAAGGGAGUUCAUAGGAUGAUGACAUGUGUCCCCUUCUAGAGUUUUCACUAGACAAAUAUCUAUGUUCUACACUAUUCUAAUUUCUUCAUGGCAACAACAUCUAGUGCCUUCAUGGAAAAUAUCAUGGAUCAUGAGUUGUGGGGAAGGCUCUAGAAAUUUGUAUUGCUUUCCUUCAAUAUUCCAGAACCAACUCACAGUUAUAUUAAUGACGAAUUUCACACUUCAGUCAAUCUCUUAACAAGUAAUUUAGAUUGAGUUUCUAAUUUACUACAUAUACCAGGAUAAUUAAUGAUGUUAAUUAGUUGUUCCAAUCAAAAUAUAGUUCGCCUUAUAGUUUAUGCUUUGCCGUAUAUCACAAGGGGCUUAUUAAUAAUUACAGUAUGCAGAAAGUUCACUUGAACCUUUUUCUAAUCUCUUUUGUUACUUACCUUAAUCGAAAUACUCUCUCUGCUAGCUCAUCAGAAAUAACGUGACUAGUUUGCUCAUCAUUAUACUAGUGCAAGAUGUUCUAGAAUAUUUUGGUCAAAUGAAAAUUUGUAGCAAUAUAUAUAGUUAAUUUCAUAGUUUGGUUACUAAAACUAUUUCCACAGUACAAAAAUUUUAUAUAUAGUAUUCAAUGAACAAGUUUAUAUACAAACCUAUGGUCAAAAUUGCAUGUUAGUGAAUACCCGGAUAUUUGAAAUAUCAUACAUAAUUGAAUAGACAUUGUAUAACCACGUUAUGGACAUUGGUAUGUAAAAUCGUAGAGCCAUCUUGCGGCGUAGAGAAACAAAAUAGAGUUUUCCCUUCAUGCUUCCGCUACUUCUAAAAAUGGACAAGUUGUCAAUUAUAGGUGUAGUAUAAAGGAAUAUAUCUAUCAUUUUUAUUUCUUACGGAGAUGGAGGUGAGAGAGAUUUGAGAAUACUACCCUUAUUUGGUGGACUAUUGUCCACCACUAGUUCAAAAAUGACAAUAGUGAUACAAAAUGAAAUUUGACAACUUUUACAGCACAAAGGAUAGCUCACUCAAAUGUCAAAAAUCUACCGUUGGCAUGGUUUUGCACCAGAGGAUAGCUCACUCAAAUUUCAAAAAUCUACCGUUGGCAUGGUUUUGCACCAGCAUGUUGCACAAGCCACUUGUCCAUCUGUUCACCCCAAAUUUUGGUCUCAUUUAAAUAGUAUAGUCAUAGCAGAAAAAACCUUGGAUUUUUCUAUAGUUCGGAGCACGUUGCAUGAUGUAUAAAGAUGUAGAUGAAAAAACAACCAUGUUACCUUUUGUACCUCCUGGUACCUGAUUACCUAAAUAUGCAACUCUAUAUAGUGUGGAGGGAAUAUUUUAAUUUGUUUAGUUGCCAACUACUUUGUAGCCAUAGUAUAUACUUGUAACCACAUUCAAGUUAUCCAUAGCAGAAAUAAUUAUUUGCUUUCUAAUUUACUGAGAUACAAUGGAAGUGCAGAAAAGUUGUUUUAUCCUUCAUUUAAAUGUAGCAAAACAAAUCAAGAAUUACCAUACAAAGAAAAUAGUUGGAAAACAAUAUGUUCUUGUAUAUAUGUACAGCACGUGAUUGGCAUAGAUAAAAUUUCUAAGAACAACAACAACACACAAUGUUUAGCAGUGGCUUACGUAUAUAGGAACACAGAUAUAAAUUAUAAACAAUAAAUUAAAAGCACAAGCUUGCAAGAAGGGGAUGCUGUGCACUAGGCAGACAAAAAAAAUCACGAAACCAUCAAGCUUGUAAUAUAGAAUGACAAAACAUCAUUAAAAUAUCACUUGUACCGCCCACGUAUAUUGCACUUAUCACACAUGUACCACCUGAAAAUUGCAUAAAAUAAGACAAAUAAUUUAGAAGCAUACUCCUAAAAUUUCCACCAGAUCUACACAAAAUAAUGUAUAUAACAAAUGAUUACAACAAGAAAGGAAUUACCAAAAUAUUACAAAUAAUAUUAUUAUACCACAUGUAUAUUAACAUAAUUACAAAAGAAUUCUGGGGCAUCUCCCGUACAAUAAAAAGAAGCCUCAAAGUCACAUUUAUACGUUUUCUGUUCUAAGAAACCAACAUACGAUUUAAAUUAAACUACUAAUAAUUGAAUGCAUGUUUCAGUAUAAAUACCACUAUAAUUUAUCUAGAUGUUUUUUCCGUUAACAUUCUUGCUGCUAACUUGUGAAUCUGUAGUACUCAAAUAAACAGUUCAUGUUGAAGUUUGAUCCAAAAUAACAUUUAACACUCACCUAGAUUUUGCACCCCUCAAAAAAUUGCUUAGUUUGUGGGGAUGCAUAAGUGAUCAAUGUAUAUUCACAGAUAUAGAGCGAGCAAUCAAAAGAUCCAAGAUCUAGGUGUAUAACAUGCGUACUUAUUAUAAAAAAAAGAGAGCAAGGUCACAAUACAUGUACUAUAGGUUAUAAACUGAAAAACAAAACACAUAAGAUCUUGCAUGUGAAACUAUCAUCCUGUACCCAGUUUCAAUAAAACUAUCAACCAAAUCUGGACGAGCAGUUGUAUAAUCCAUUUAGACAGCAGCGCAUACAUGCUGAGAAGCAACCAAUCAGCGCAUACUGCCGGAUCUGGCUGUACCAACCAGUAGUUUUUAGAUGGAUUAGUAAUGCAAUGAAUUAAAUACAACAAUCUGAGUGUAUAUAUACCGAAUAGUAUUUUUGUCAUGUAUAGUAGCUCUAGGUUGAGCAAACAAAUAAAUUUUGAAUCGCAUUUCUAAGAGCAAAAAUCUUUUCCUAAUGAUUUUCGAAAGUUCAGCGAAUGAACAUGCACAAAACCUACACAACUGGCAUAGUUAGCUUCUUCACUGUAUACACCUUUUUGCAGUCGCACGGACCGGGGAGAGAGAUCGAUGCUUGGCAGACUCCAUCAGCAAGUUUCUCCGCUCUCGACCGGGAAAGGAACCCACAGAUGCAAGGUGAGCCGAUCAUGUAAAUACAAAAGGUCCAAUGAGAUCAGCCACAAGAACACCAGAUCUAGUGGGGAAGGAAGCUCAAAACUGAGAAUCUGACGAUCAUGUACUUAGUUAGUGUACUUAAUUAGUUACUGCUGCUAAACAACACAUGCAUGCAUGAAACAAAGAUGCUACAAGCUCACAUACGCAUGAAUUGUCUGAGGACAAACUAGAGCUCAAAUUACUUUGCAAUGAAUACAUUCGAAAGUAACAUUUCACAGGUAAGGAUUCGAUUCCGCACUGCAUUAUUCUGUUGGCAUGGGGUGCAUGAGGAGAGAGGACUCACCCGUAUUCAUGCUCUGGCGGAGGUUGACGGAGCGUCUCGCGACUUCGAGCACCCAGGCAUCGUGCCCGUCACCCAAGAGCGGCGGCGCGGGCGGCAGACAAGCAGCUGAACGCAAAGGAGAAAUUCGAGGCAGAGGAGGUGGUGACGGUGCUGCAGACAGUCGAGCGGGGAGAUGGAGGCGGUGGCGAGACAGGUGCCGGUAGGGGUGGUAGCCGCGGUGCGGGAGGCGGCGUCGGCGAGGCUGGCCGCGAAGGUGGCCCUCGAUCGUCGUGCUGCUGGAGGAGGGGAACAGGUAGAGCGCGGUGGAUGCCGGCACCGCUUUGUCAGGACGAGAUCCAUCGCCAUCUGGUACGGAUCUGGGCUCCCGUGUGCCCGGCGUCCUCCUGGCCGAGCGAAUCAAGCACGGGCCGAUCUGCCUCGCCCUCACCGUAAAGUUGUCUCGAGCCUGCCUUUGCCGCCGCCGUUGUUGAUGCAGCUGGGGGUCGCAGCACGCGGAUCCGUUGGUGACGGAGACCUUCUGAUACCGUCUCGGCGCCGCGCUGACCGAGCUACGACCCGCGAACACGAUCGACGGCCAUUGUCGCCGCUGCCGGUGUCCAGGUUCAACGCCGCCCAGGCUGCCGGUGUGCACCUGCAGCUUCCCGUCGCCGGUGUACUGUCGUUGUCGCCGCCAAAUGACCAACGCGGACCGCCACAGUUCAAACUUCAACGCCUCGCGAGGUGCCAAUGACGACGCCAGAUCUCUCGGCUUGCCGACGAGGUAUCUCGAUGUCGCCGCCCACAUCGGAUGGUAGGAGCGCCUCGCCUCCUUCCCGACACCGCUAGAUCUGGCGGUGGCGGCUGAACCACCGCUUCGCACUACCGGAAAAUGAAAUUUUGCCGAGUGUUUUUUUGCCGAGUGUUUUUUUGCCGAGUGCCUAUCUUAAAACACUCGGCAAACCUAUGCAAACCUCCACACUGCUGGAACUGGUCCAACUGCCAACUCCCGCGGCACAUAUUCAGAAAGCGGCAAUAUUGCUAACUGAUCCCUCCGUAUCAAAAUAAUUGUGUUGUUGACUUUUUUUCUACAACUUUGACCAUUCGUCUCAUUCAAAAAAUUAUGUAAGUAUCAUCUACUUUGUUCGUGACAUGCUUUACUAUUAUAGGUGUUUUAAAGAUGACUUAUCUCUUUAUAUGUUUACAAUAAAUUUUUGAAUAAGACGAAUAGUCAAAGUUGUAAGAAAAAUUCAACGUCGACAAAUAUUUCAAUAUGGAGGGUAGUGAUAUGGAGGGUAGUAGUUGCAAUAAACUUCCUUAUAACAGUUUCUGAAACUGUUCUUUGACGAUACAAAAUCUGACAAUUUAGCACACAUUUCCAAUCCAAACGCCACUUAAAUGCUCCUUACCACUGGAAUUGAAAAUACAGCUGAAAACUCUAGCUAAGACACAGAAUUGGACAGAAUAUAUAUAUAUAUAUAUAUAUAUAUAUAUAUAUAUAUAUAUAUAUAUAAGUGCUAGUAUAUAUUCAUAAAGUAGAAAAUCAUGUUAGUAAUGUAACCGAUAAAAAACAACUUAAUCUUACUUGAAGUAAAUCAGUAUUUCACGAGUACAGAGUACCUGACCUCUGUCCUAAGAAAGUGAACUUAGGGUGAGUUUGGUUGGUUGUAUCAUUUAAUUUAUGUAUAAAAUGGUUCAAAAUAUUAAUGAUCUUUUUAUUUAGUUGGGUGAAUUUUUAUUUGGCUGGGUGAAUUGUACCAACUCAUUCAGGAUGAAGCCAUCCCACUUAAUAUAUUAUUCUUGAACCAUAUGGUACAAGCAAAUUGGUUGAAUCCCACCAUCCAAAUCAUCCAUACAUGCAUUAUAUGUGCAUGCAACCAAAUACACCCUUAAUUUCUUCGUCUGUCGAAGCACAACACCGUACCUGACCUCUGUCCUGAGAAAGUGAACCACUUAAUUUCUGUGCUGACUGGUCCGUCAGUGGCCAUCUCAGCAUACGGUCCAGUCGUCUUCAACCUCCACCUCCACGACGACAGCCGCGGUCGCGGAUCCUCCUCGUCACAAGGAGAAGCCGCCGCCGACGUGAUCUAUGCUGUCCUGAGUAACGGCGUCGAAGUGCUUGCCAGGUCGUCGGAGGCGGGGACGACGGACACCACCUGCGAUCGACGGACAUCAUACGCAACGCCUUAUCAGCAUAAAAGUAGACUUUUGAUAUAUUCCAUAAAAAUGGAGCAUUUGAGAACGAGUAAAUCUGUAAUUGAUUUGCAUAUAUAUAUCGUCGGUUUCAAACAUGGUGAGUCUUAUUACACAUUACACAUAUGACUUCCGACAAACAAGUUUACUUAUAACAAGUAACGGGAAUAAAAAAAGUGAAAAUAAAAAGUUUGACUCCACCAUAUAGUAGGCUGGCUGAGAAGAAGGUAAACAUGCAUCAUGCAAGUCACUCCUUGAGUGGGAAGGAAGGGCGGAUGGCGAUGCCGCACAGUCCCUCCGGCUUGCCGGCGAUGUUCCUCUUCAUCUUGAUGAAGCCGUUUUCUCCCCACUUAGCCCCCCACGAGUUCUUGACAAUCCAAUACUCGUCCCCGCCCUGCUGGUCGUACCCGACGACGGUGACGGCGUGGUUGAGACUGAUCCCGCAGGGCCCGUUGUAGACGCCCUUCUUGUAGUGCUGGAAGUUGGUGCCGCCGGCCUCGAUGGACACGGCGACGGGCUGCAUCGCCACCGCGUUCUGCAGCGACACCUCGCUCUUGGGGGCCACGCGCCCGCAGCUGGAGAUGGUGGCGGCCGGUACCUAGCGGUCGCAGGUGCCCUCCUGGGCCUCGUAGGGGUAGUCCGCCUCCGUGGCGAUGCCGCCGUUGGAGGUGAUCCACUCCAUGGCGCGGAAGUGGAUGCCGCCCUUGCAGCCACUGUCCAGCUUGUCGCAGUCCACGAGCUGCUGCACCGACAGGGACAGCAGCUUCCCCGUCCGGAUCUUGGUGAUCCCUUCCAGGCUUCCACUGCGGCCACCGUCGCGAAGGCCCAGCACGACAAACACGAGCCCUGGUUCUUUACCGGCGUCACGGCGCCUUCCUCGCGCCAGUCCACGCUCGCCGGCGCGGCGGAAAAGUUCGUGUACGCCGCCGCGUGCCCGGUGGCAUCGACCGACCCGGCGCGCGUCGUGAUC
Molecule: long non-coding RNA, 13702 nt
Filed under: Setaria viridis
Lineage: Eukaryota; Viridiplantae; Streptophyta; Magnoliopsida; Poales; Poaceae
Description: long non-coding RNA (SVIR_LNC008659)
Source: RNAcentral